RNAcentral lists this transfer RNA (76 nucleotides) under Burkholderiales bacterium. RNAcentral describes it as "tRNA-Thr". It matches the Rfam family "tRNA". Rfam says of the family: Transfer RNA (tRNA) molecules are approximately 80 nucleotides in length. The record is from RNAcentral. Lineage: Bacteria; Pseudomonadati; Pseudomonadota; Betaproteobacteria; Burkholderiales.
GCCGGCAUAGCUCAGUCGGUAGAGCAGCGGUUUUGUAAACCGAAGGUCGGGGGUUCGAGUCCCUCUGCCGGCACCA